Molecule: ribosomal RNA, 532 nt
Filed under: uncultured Bacteroidota bacterium
Lineage: Bacteria; Pseudomonadati; Bacteroidota
Description: bacterial SSU rRNA
Rfam family: Bacterial small subunit ribosomal RNA
Source: RNAcentral
GAUGAGCAUGCGUCCCAUUAGCUUGUUGGUAAGGUAACGGCUUACCAAGGCAACGAUGGGUAGGGGUCCUGAGAGGGAGAUCCCCCACACUGGUACUGAGACACGGACCAGACUCCUACGGGAGGCAGCAGUGAGGAAUAUUGGUCAAUGGGCGCAAGCCUGAACCAGCCAUGCCGCGUGCAGGAUGAAGCAUCUAUGGUGUGUAAACUGCUUUUGUACGAGAAGAAACACUCCUUCGUGAAGGAGCUUGACGGUAUCGUAAGAAUAAGGACCGGCUAACUCCGUGCCAGCAGCCGCGGUAAUACGGAGGGUCCAAGCGUUAUCCGGAAUCAUUGGGUUUAAAGGGUCCGUAGGCGGUUUUGUAAGUCAGUGGUGAAAGCCCAUCGCUCAACGGUGGAACGGCCAUUGAUACUGCAAGACUUGAAUUAUUGGGAAGUAACUAGAAUAUGUAGUGUAGCGGUGAAAUGCUUAGAGAUUACAUGGAAUACCAAUUGCGAAGGCAGGUUACUACCAAUAUAUUGACGCUGAUGGA